This is a long non-coding RNA of Papaver somniferum (opium poppy), 2158 nucleotides long. RefSeq lists it as uncharacterized. The transcript is spliced from 6 exons. The record is from RefSeq and is a predicted model, not a curated record. Lineage: Eukaryota; Viridiplantae; Streptophyta; Magnoliopsida; Ranunculales; Papaveraceae.
UUGUUUGUUUGUUCUGUGUGAAAAAUUGGGGGUUUCAUUUACAUUCUCCUCCUGAUUGAUUGAGGGUGAGAGUGAGAAGGAUGAUGAUUGAAUCAGGGUUUCGUUUCGAUUUUGGUUCUAUUAGAGCCAAGGGGUUUUUAGGUUUCUAUCCAAGUAUAUGUUGAUUUACAAUUAGAUUGUUGUUUUUUUUUUUUUGUUUUUGUUUACCAAUUUUUCUCUUCUUCAUCCUUAAUCCUCUCUUCAGAAUUCUAAAGAGAUAAGGACGAAGAAGAGGUAAACUGGUAAGCUGACCACGGUGAUGCAUGCUGUUUCAUUUGAUUUCUAAUUCCAUUUUUGCUUUUAUCGAAUUUAAUUUAAUUUUGAGAUCACAAUACAAACAAUGUCUAGGUUGCACUUUUGAUUCAUUUUCAGGGAGGAGUUUUCUAUUUACAAAUAGGGAGUUGGAAAUAUAUUGGGAUGUGCUUUGAAUGGAAAUUUAAUUCUAUUGGGUUACAUUGUGUUGGGAAAAUUCUCAAGGAAAAUGUGCCUUUACUUGGCAAUUUCAACCUAGUUUGUUUCUCUGUGCAUUUUUAUAUCAAAUUCUCAUGCUGUCGAAAAAGGAUGAGAGGACUUCUUUGAAGUUUUUUUGUGGAGUUUGUGUCGGACAACUCGUUGCAUGUUAUGAUUCAUGAAGAUUUGGUAACCUUUAGAAUGAUACAUGUAUAAUGUAGUGGAGCGUUGGGCACACUUAUAGCCAAUUGUAAUAACUCUUUUGCCAUAAGCUGUUUUUAUCUACAGGAUUUUGUUUUGGUUUAUAAAUAUUUUCAUCUGUUAAACUCUUGUUUAAUUGGUUGGUUGUAACUGCACUGCACUAUAAAGUCGAAACUUCAGUCUUCUGUCCUGCUUUUUCUUAUCUUAUUAACAUCACGGUAAUUCUUUUCCCUUUUAGGAAACGGGAAGAUCUGUGUCCAUUUCGAGUUUUCCCUUGGAAAUGUCAAACUGCACUGCAGCUUUUCAAACUCGACGAUGGUUACUUCCAACAAGAGAUUAAAAAAGCCUCUUGAACCAAUACUAGACAGUGCAUUCUCAGAUCAAACAAAUGCUUCAUUGACAGUCAUUUCUGAACUGCUUCCUUGAAGUUAAGGGCUGAAAUACUUGAAGCUGCAUCCUCCAAAAUAUGUGGUGGUGACAAAUCUAGGUCCCGCAUAGUAGAGAAGCUGUAAGAAUCAUAUGAGUUGCUGAAGAUGCUAAUGUGGCUGCUGUCAGAGAAUAUGAAAGAAUCAAGUAAUGGGAGUUGUAAGAGAUGGAACUACCUCUGGGAUUUUACCAAAUAAUGAGGAAUUUGUGGUGCACUAUCCAGGUUAUCCAUCAUCAGCUUCUCAGGCUGUUCAAACUCUUGAAAGAGCUGAAAGAAUCAUGAAGGACACACUACAUGAGUAUCUUCGAGUUAUAUUAGCUGUCGAUUUUGCAUUCUCGGAUUUGACAAAUGCUUUAUUUGACUGCCAUUUGUCUUCCUUGAAGUUAAGGGAUGAAAAACCUGAAGCUGCAUCCUCCAAAAUAAUUGGCGGUGACAAAUCUAGGUUCCCAAAAUAAAGAAGCUGCAUGAAACCAGAGUUGCUGAAGAUGCUAAGAUGAUUGCUGGUUUGAAAACAUGAAACAAUCAAGGCUUAGCAAAAGAAUAUUGGUAAAUCCAUUCUACCAUGAAAGCGGGAACCUUAAUAAUACAGAGGAUGAGAAGAUGGUAUAAGACCGUACCAAUUCCGAUGCUCCUUGUUUGUUGUUGUUUGAGGUUAUCAUCUUAUGCCUUACUCCGAGAUAUGGAUCUGAGCAUGAGAAUUUCAGUCAGGAAGCAUGAAUGCUGUGAAUUUGGAGGUUGAAGACACAUGAUGCUGGCUUUACUCUACCCCAAAACCAAGGAGGUUCUUUUCUUUUCUUUUUUUUUUUUUUCUAGACAAGAAGGUUCCAACUUGGAUGCUCCUUUGUUUGUUGUUGUUUGUGUCAUCUUAUGCCUUACUGAGAAGUAUUACAAAGCUGACAAGAAUUGCGCCAGAAACGAAGAACUUGUAUCUUCAAUUCUUCCAUUUUUUCCUUUUACAGUCAUUUUGGUCCCAGUUAAGGAUCAAAGUUGUAUCAUUGUUUUAUAAUACGACGCGCGGUUGAAGUGGCCAAUUAGCUGUUU